This is a non-coding RNA of Podarcis muralis (Common wall lizard), 1640 nucleotides long. NCBI's taxonomy places the organism in Eukaryota, Metazoa, Chordata, Lepidosauria, Squamata, Lacertidae. The record is from RefSeq and is a predicted model, not a curated record.
UCCUGCCAGACUGACUCCAUUCUGAUUUCCUGAUUUGCAGUUCCAAGACACCAAAUGUUCAAAUGGGCCUCUGCUACAAAUUCCCUUUUUCAGCACUGCAAGAUCCUCUUUUCAUUUUCAUGAUUAAGUGCAGCUUGGUAUUUGUUCCGUGAUCAUAAUCAAAAGGCUGGGAUCAGGAUUCUAGAGAUGAAUAAUUUAAGGACAAAGUGAAAUAGAAGUCUUUCCUGUAUGGUGGAAAUCCAUUAGAAAGGAACAAGGCACACUUCCUUUGAAAGAGAAUUCUGAAGCUUUAGUGAACUUAGAUGGAAGUACUUCCCGAUCCCAUCUCCUACUCAUGAACAUUUUUAUGAAAUUCAUAUACACACUGCCAGCAAUAUCAACCAUCAUUGAGAGAGAUACAUUGCUGAAGUCCUCCCAGCUGUGAAAACUUCAACCAGGGCCUUGAAAGGCUUUUGAUGUGUUAUCUUUGGAAUAAGAUUUCCCCAAACAUCUAUAUCCAGCUUUUCUUCCACACUGGGACUAAAGGUUGUCUUCCAUACAGACACUCACCAGACUCGCAGCUCCUUAGCUUGUUAGGUUGUUGUAUUAUAUGUCUUCCUUAGCCAUGGUUAUUUCGAUCAUCGCAGCCUAGAAACUACAUUAUCAUGAAGUGAGAGCAGCUUGAAACAAAACAAACUUUGGAAAAACAAGCAAUUGCUUCUUUUAUUGUCUGUAGGACACCUCGUGGUUAGCUCAUGGUUUGUUAAACAAGCCAUAGCUUAAAGAAAUCAUGACUUGGGGUUAUGUGUGAACCAGGCAAUUAUAUUCUGAAAGCAUUUUCUCCUGUUUUUCCUAAUGCAGACCUUUACAUUACUAUAAAUUAUACAACAGCACCCAAUUUGCACUAAAUGUAGGCCCAAUUUUGUGUUAUAGGAUACCUGUGUUCCAAUGGCUGCAUCCUAUUGUCAUGAAUGAGCCAGCCCCCAGGGAAGGUUUGUAGCCAGCUCCCAGUGACGGAAGUAGCCAGGAAGAGAGAGGGUUAACUGCCAGGCAAGAUGAGCACAGCCCAGUGCCAAUUCCCCUGCCCUUAGGAAUGUCAGUUGAUAAGAGAAUGGUGGAGGGUGAGCCUUAGCCCUGCCAACUCUCUCAAGAAGUGCAAAAUACUGGGAAUAGAGAAGGAAGCAGUUCAUCAGUCAGGAAAGAGUGAAGAGAAUGAGGAAGAGGUGGGAGCUGACCCUCUUAGUCCCAGGUCAUGGCGAAUGGGAGGGCUACAGGAUAGGAGGCAGUGCAAAAGACACCAGAGGGAAAAGUUCACUUGCUUCUGGUCUCACUGGAAGUAGGCUUCAGACGGGUCAUCAUGAUAAAUGAUGGUGACGGCUGUGUUAGAGCUGUUCAGAGUUAUCUCUUUGUUUUGACAAUAAAUCAUCCUUUAAUGAACUACGCUCACUGUGUUAUCAAACCAGGAACUGGACUCCUGACACCUAUGCUGCUUUGGAAAUGUAGGAAUGUAGGAACCACGAGAAAGGAGUAGGAGGUCAUGAGAAGGACCACACAAAUGUCUCUUCUCCAAACUGAUCUUUCAUGAUCCUGUUUACAUGGUUCUUCUUCCUAAGUGUUCUUGGCCCCUUCUCCCAUCUUAUAUUAUUGGAGCUGCCUGGGAU